RNAcentral lists this ribosomal RNA (254 nucleotides) under uncultured Chloroflexota bacterium. Its description in RNAcentral is "uncultured Chloroflexi bacterium partial 16S ribosomal RNA". It matches the Rfam family "Bacterial small subunit ribosomal RNA", at positions 524 to 776 of the family's 1533-position model. The record is from RNAcentral. Lineage: Bacteria; Bacillati; Chloroflexota.
AACGUAGGAGGCGAGCGUUAUCCGGAUUCACUGGGCGUAAAGCGCGCGUAGGCGGUUGGGUAAGUCGGAUGUAAAAGCCCCUGGCUCAACUGGGGGAGGUCAUUCGAUACUGCCCGGCUUGAGGGUGAGAGAGGAGAGUGGAAUUCCCGGUGUAGCGGUGGAAUGCGUAGAGAUCGGGAGGAACACCAGUGGCGAAGGCGACUCUCUGGCUCAUACCUGACGCUGAGUGCGCGAAAGCGUGGGGAGCAAACGGG